This 129-nucleotide unclassified non-coding RNA is filed under the name uncultured fungus. RNAcentral describes it as "sequence contains ITS1". Lineage: Eukaryota; Fungi. The record is from RNAcentral.
GUAUUUUGUUAUUAUUUAUCACAUUCAAGACUUCAAGUUUGGGCCGAAGCCACGGUUCACAGUGUUAUUAUGUAUAAGGCCAAAAGGCCGAAUUCAAUAAUGAUCCUUCCGCAGGUUCACCUACGGAAA